GUUGUUGGCAUGGCACGGGUUGUGUUCUUCUCAUAUAUGUUAUGAUGGUAUGAUACUAAACCCCUAACGGGAGGGAUUGUGCCUGAUAUGCAUAUGAUGAAGACAUAAUCUUUCAAUCAGUGUAAUUGAAGUCUGGAGCUGGCAUGUCAGUUAACUGCUAGUAGUCUGUUGUUAUUUAUGUAUUAUUAUCAUUUUGUUUAUUUUCUU
This 207-nucleotide long non-coding RNA is filed under the name Mytilus galloprovincialis (Mediterranean mussel). Lineage: Eukaryota; Metazoa; Mollusca; Bivalvia; Mytilida; Mytilidae. The record is from RNAcentral.